AAGUACCGAUUAGUAGCAGUUCAAUAUAAAUUCAUAUUGAAAUGUGCUGUAAAAAUAAGAUGAUAUUAAGUAUAAAACUAUUUAUAUUGACUUAUAGAAACUUUUACACAAAGGUUAGAAGGAAAGUGGAUCAUUAGUGUGUAUUACAGAUCAAAUGUUUGCUGUAUAUCAGAUGUUCCCAAAUCCAGUGCUUAAAAUGUCAUCUUCUACUCAUCAGAUAAUUAUCAAAGCUUUCAUAUGAUGAAUUUUUUGGAAAACACAAAUCGGUAAAUAUGUAGAGCUGAACAUGUUUGCUGUGGUGUACUUUUUUCAUAAGUUCAGUGGACUUCUUGGUUGAAACCACUCAUUUAAAACCAUACUAAUAACUAAGUGGACAUUUCUGCCCCAGCAUUGCUCAGAAGGUCUACGGCCGCCGAUUUUCUGAGGUCCGGCAGGGAGAAGAGAGCCGCUCGGUGUGUGAACGGUGACUGCAGCUCAGAGAACAGCGAGUCCGAGGAGGCCAACUCCGAUUACGAGCAAGAGAACUCAAAGAUGCUCUUUCCAGGUGGAUCACAAGUAGGGGUGCUCAAGGCCCCUUUCGGAGGUUCCAGGCAGGAAGGUUCAGGUAUGUAGCCCUGAGGCAGAAAUUGUGUGUGUAAAAGUUGAAAGUGAGCCUGAGGCGAACCUGACCAGGAAAGCCCUACGCUUUUGGAUGUAAGGAGCAACACUCAACAUGCAAUACCAACACGCACGCCAAUGGAUCACACAGCGGGUUGAGAAUAUGUUACUAUAUGUUUAAAAAAAAAAAAGCAUAGCAAACGUAAAGUCUUAUAUACCUAUACAUAUUAAAAACACAGUGACUUUGAACCUAAUAUGCCUAAUUUUACAUUAGAAAUAAUUAAUAUUAUACAUAUUGGUUGGCAUUAUAGCCAGGAUAUGAUUUUUUUUUUUCCUGAAGUACAUGGAUAAGAUUCUCGUAAUAAGUACAUUAAUGUAGACAAGGUGCUGCCAAUCUUGGUGCUUUUUGUAAAAAUAAAUAAAUAAAUAAAUAAAUAAAUAAAUAAAUAUAUAAUGCUGCUGAUUUUUCUUUUCCGAUUCAUAUUAACUUGUUUCUCUAGAGUAGGUAUAUGACUCUAAAGCUACAUAAAUGCAAAAACAACUGGCAUUGUUCACUUUUCUCAGUUUAUAUCUUUCAUACAGUCUUGUCUGGGUCUUGCACCAUGGCAUGAAUUUUGAUAAAUGAUCACAAUACAAUGUACAGUAACUAGAUUUGUAACCAUUUUACAAAACUAAUAUGGGUAAUGUAUCUAUUAUAUUUUAUUCUCUAUUAAUAUCAUCUAAGCUAUU
Ictalurus furcatus (blue catfish) is the source of this 1326-nucleotide long non-coding RNA. RefSeq lists it as uncharacterized. The record is from RefSeq and is a predicted model, not a curated record. Lineage: Eukaryota; Metazoa; Chordata; Actinopteri; Siluriformes; Ictaluridae. The transcript is spliced from 3 exons.